UACAGAGGGUGCGAGCGUUAAUCGGAAUUACUGGGCGUAAAGCGCACGUAGGUGGCGACGUAAGUCGGGUGUGAAAGCCCCGGGCUCAACCUGGGAAUUGCAUUCGAGACUGUGUUGCUGGAGUACGGAAGAGGAGGGCGGAAUUCCCGGUGUAGCGGUGAAAUGCGUAGAUAUCGGGAGGAACAUCAGUGGCGAAGGCGGGUUGCUGGGCCGACACUGACGCUGAGGCGCGAAAGCUAGGGGAGCGAGCGGG
Molecule: ribosomal RNA, 253 nt
Filed under: uncultured bacterium
Lineage: Bacteria
Description: partial 16S ribosomal RNA
Rfam family: Bacterial small subunit ribosomal RNA
Source: RNAcentral